CCUACGGGUGUCUGCAGUCGAGAAUCAUUCACAAUGGAGGCAACCCUGAUGGUGCUACGCCGCGUGGGGGCAUGAAGGUCUUCGGAUUGUAAACCCCUGUCAUGUGGGAGCACAUGACACAGCUAGUACCCCAUGAAGAAGAGACGGCUAACUCUGUUACAGCCGCCGCGGUCAUACAGAGGUCUCAAGCGUUGUUCGGAAUCACUGGGCAUAAAGCUUGCGUAGGCUGUUUCGGACGUCGGGUGUGAAAGUCGCGGGCUCAACCCGCGGACGGCAGAUGAUACUGCGAGCCUAGAGUAAUGGAGGGGGAACCGGAAUUCUCGGUGUAGCAGUGAAAUGCGUAGAUAUCGAGAGGAACACUCGUGGCGAAGGCGGGUGCCUGGACAUUAACUGACGCUGAGGCACGAAGGCCAGGGGAGCGAAAGGGAUUAGAUACCCUUGUAGUC
This 446-nucleotide ribosomal RNA is filed under the name uncultured bacterium. RNAcentral describes it as "partial 16S ribosomal RNA". It matches the Rfam family "Bacterial small subunit ribosomal RNA", at positions 338 to 795 of the family's 1533-position model. The record is from RNAcentral.